This 478-nucleotide ribosomal RNA is filed under the name uncultured bacterium. Its description in RNAcentral is "partial 16S ribosomal RNA". It matches the Rfam family "Bacterial small subunit ribosomal RNA", at positions 28 to 523 of the family's 1533-position model. The record is from RNAcentral.
GACGAACGCUGGCGGCGUGCUUAACACAUGCAAGUCGAACGGUAAGGCCCUUCGGGGUACACGAGUGGCGAACGGGUGAGUAACACGUGGGUGAUCUGCCCUGCACUUCGGGAUAAGCCUGGGAAACUGGGUCUAAUACCGGAUAGGACCACUGCCUGCAUGGGUGGCGGUGGAAAGCUUUUGCGGUGUGGGAUGGGCCCGCGGCCUAUCAGCUUGUUGGUGGGGUGAUGGCCUACCAAGGCGACGACGGGUAGCCGGCCUGAGAGGGUGACCGGCCAAACUGGGACUGAGAUACGGCCCAGACUCCUACGGGAGGCAGCAGUGGGGAAUAUUACACAAUGGGCGCAAGCCUGAUGCAGCGACGCCGCGUGAGGGAUGACGGCCUUCGGGUUGUAAACCUCUUUCAGCACCGACGAAGCGCAAGUGACGGUAGGUGCAGAAGAAGGACCGGCCAACUACGUGCCAGCAGCCGCCGUAA